This 252-nucleotide ribosomal RNA is filed under the name uncultured bacterium. RNAcentral's name for it is "partial 16S ribosomal RNA". It matches the Rfam family "Bacterial small subunit ribosomal RNA", at positions 524 to 776 of the family's 1533-position model. The record is from RNAcentral.
UACGGAGGAUGCGAGCGUUAUCCGGAUUUAUUGGGUUUAAAGGGUGCGUAGGCGGUCUGUUAAGUCAGCGGUAAAAUUGCGGGGCUCAACCCCGUCGAGCCGUUGAAACUGGCAGACUUGUGUUGGCGAGAAGUACGCGGAAUGCGCGGUGUAGCGGUGAAAUGCAUAGAUAUCGCGCAGAACUCCGAUUGCGAAGGCAGCGUACCGGCGCCACACUGACGCUGAGGCACGAAAGCGUGGGGAUCGAACAGG